This 229-nucleotide unclassified non-coding RNA is filed under the name plant metagenome. RNAcentral's name for it is "partial contains small subunit ribosomal RNA, internal transcribed spacer 1, and 5.8S ribosomal RNA". The record is from RNAcentral.
UCUCCGUAGGUGAACCUGCGGAGGGAUCAUUACAGAGUUCAUGCCCUACCGGGUCGAUCUCCCACCCUAUGUUAUUAUUACUUUGUUGCUUUGGCGGGCCGUUAGGCUCCGGCCCGACUACCGGCCCCGGCUGGUAAGCGCCCGCCAGAGGACCCAAAACCCUGAAUAUUAGUGUCGUCUGAGUACUAUAUAAUAGUAAAAACUUUCAACAACGGAUCUCUUGGUUCUG